This 497-nucleotide ribosomal RNA is filed under the name uncultured bacterium. RNAcentral's name for it is "partial 16S ribosomal RNA". It matches the Rfam family "Bacterial small subunit ribosomal RNA", at positions 28 to 507 of the family's 1533-position model. The record is from RNAcentral.
GAUGAACGCUGGCGGCGUGCCUAAUACAUGCAAGUCGAACGCAUAGCGAAAGGUGCUUGCACCUUUCAAGUGAGUGGCGAACGGGUGAGUAACACGUGGACAACCUGCCUCAAGGCUGGGGAUAACAUUUGGAAACAGAUGCUAAUACCGAAUAAAACUUAGUGUCGCAUGACACAAAGUUAAAAGGCGCUUCGGCGUCACCUAGAGAUGGAUCCGCGGUGCAUUAGUUAGUUGGUGGGGUAAAGGCCUACCAAGACAAAGAUGCAUAGCCGAGUUGAGAGACUGAUCGGCCACAUUGGGACUGAGACACGGCCCAAACUCCUACGGGAGGCUGCAGUAGGGAAUCUUCCACAAUGGGCGAAAGCCUGAUGGAGCAACGCCGCGUGUGUGAUGAAGGCUUUCGGGUCGUAAAGCACUGUUGUAUGGGAAGAACAGCUAGAAUAGGAAAUGAUUUUAGUUUGACGGUACCAGACCAGAAAGGGACGGCUAAAUACGUG